GCUGGUGGCGAUGCGCUUACGGGACACACCCGUUUCCAUUCCGAACACGGAUGGUUAAGACGUAAGAGGCCGAAAGUACUAUACUGGAGACGGUAUGGGAGGAUAGGUGGCCGCCAGCA
Molecule: ribosomal RNA, 119 nt
Filed under: [Eubacterium] cellulosolvens 6
Lineage: Bacteria; Bacillati; Bacillota; Clostridia; Eubacteriales; Eubacteriaceae
Source: RNAcentral